GAUGAACGCUGGCGGCGUGCCUAAUACAUGCAAGUCGAGCGAACAGAUGAGGAGCUUGCUCCUCUGACGUUAGCGGCGGACGGGUGAGUAACACGUGGAUAACCUACCUAUAAGACUGGGAUAACUUCGGGAAACCGGAGCUAAUACCGGAUAAUAUAUUGAACCGCAUGGUUCAAUAGUGAAAGACGGUUUUGCUGUCACUUAUAGAUGGAUCCGCGCCGCAUUAGCUAGUUGGUAAGGUAACGGCUUACCAAGGCAACGAUGCGUAGCCGACCUGAGAGGGUGAUCGGCCACACUGGAACUGAGACACGGUCCAGACUCCUACGGGAGGCAGCAGUAGGGAAUCUUCCGCAAUGGGCGAAAGCCUGUCGGAGCAACGCCGCGUGAGUGAUGAAGGUCUUCGGAUCGUAAAACUCUGUUAUUAGGGAAGAACAAAUGUGUAAGUAACUAUGCACGUCUUGACGGUACCUAAUCAGAAAGCCACGGCUAACUACGUG
RNAcentral lists this ribosomal RNA (497 nucleotides) under uncultured bacterium. RNAcentral describes it as "partial 16S ribosomal RNA". It matches the Rfam family "Bacterial small subunit ribosomal RNA", at positions 28 to 507 of the family's 1533-position model. The record is from RNAcentral.